This 430-nucleotide unclassified non-coding RNA is filed under the name soil metagenome. Its description in RNAcentral is "partial contains 5.8S ribosomal RNA, internal transcribed spacer 2, and large subunit ribosomal RNA". The stretch from base 1 to 120 matches the Rfam family "5.8S ribosomal RNA", at positions 35 to 154 of the family's 154-position model. The record is from RNAcentral.
GAUGAAGAACGCAGCGAAAUGCGAUACGUAAUGUGAAUUGCAGAAUUCAGUGAAUCAUCGAAUCUUUGAACGCGUAUUGCGCUCUCUGGUAUUCCGGAGAGCAUGCUUGUUUGAGUAUCAGUAAACACCUCAACUCCCUUUUCUUCUUUGAAAUUGGAGCUGGACUUGAGUGAUCCCAACGCUUUCUUCCAAGAAAGUGGCGGGUUGCUUGAAAUGCAGGUGCAGCUGAACUUUUCUCUGAGCUAUAAGCAUAUCUAUUUAGUCUGCCUAAAAAACAGAUUAUUACCUUUGCUGCAGCUAACAUAAAGGAGACUAGUUCUUGUGCUGACUGAUGCAGGAUUCACAGAGACAGCUUCGGCUGACUUUGUAAACUCGAUCUCAAAUCAAGUAAGACUACCCGCUGAACUUAAGCAUAUCAAUAAGCGGAGGA